GUAAACGUCGUGUCCCGUAGACUGCGUGUUCAGCUGUUCUUAGUGCUCAGUAAAUUUCACGCCAACUAUACACAAGUGAUCACAGUGCCUACCGCUCGACACUGCACAGCACCAGCUCAACCUGCAACGCCCGGCACGCCGAAAGAAAGGUGGUGUCGCGGCGCAGACAGGUGCGAAGGGAGAGAGGGAGUCUUCAUCAACACACCUGCAAGCCAUGUCCGACAGGGGCCGCGGCGCAGAAUUUGUUCGCCGAAGAUAGAGAUAUUAUCGCUCCGUGGAUGCCGGGCGCCGAUUCCUCAAACAAAGGAGACAGCACAAGGGCACAAAAAAGGAAACAACAAUAAAAUAAAAGCCCGCUACUCGCGUAAAGAAUCCGAAGUGUAUAGUGAGAGGAAAAGAAAUAUCAUGAGCUUGAA
This is a long non-coding RNA of Eriocheir sinensis (Chinese mitten crab), 416 nucleotides long. RefSeq lists it as uncharacterized. The transcript is spliced from 4 exons. Lineage: Eukaryota; Metazoa; Arthropoda; Malacostraca; Decapoda; Varunidae. The record is from RefSeq and is a predicted model, not a curated record.